AUGGACAAGAUAUCUAGGGCGCACGGCGGAUGCCUUGGCACAGGAAGUCGACGAAGGACGCGGCAAGCUGCGAUAAGCCCCGGGGAGUGGCAAACACACCUUGAUCCGGGGAUCUCCGAAUGGGGGAACCCACCUGGGGUCAUGCCCAGGUAUCCCGUCCUGAAUGAAAUAGGGACGAGGAAGGCAACCGGGGGAACUGAAACAUCUAAGUACCCCGAGGAAGAGAAAUCAACCGAGAUUGCGCGAGUAGCGGCGAGCGAAAGCGCACCAGCCCAAACCCGGGCGCGUGUAAGCGGCAGGCGUUGCCGCCCGGGGGUUGCGGGAC
This 325-nucleotide ribosomal RNA is filed under the name Adlercreutzia equolifaciens subsp. celatus DSM 18785. RNAcentral describes it as "bacterial LSU rRNA". It matches the Rfam family "Bacterial large subunit ribosomal RNA", at positions 1 to 306 of the family's 2925-position model. Lineage: Bacteria; Bacillati; Actinomycetota; Coriobacteriia; Eggerthellales; Eggerthellaceae. The record is from RNAcentral.